This 460-nucleotide ribosomal RNA is filed under the name uncultured bacterium. Its description in RNAcentral is "partial 16S ribosomal RNA". It matches the Rfam family "Bacterial small subunit ribosomal RNA", at positions 338 to 795 of the family's 1533-position model. The record is from RNAcentral.
CCUACGGGAGGCAGCAGUGAGGAAUAUUGGUCAAUGGGCGCGAGCCUGAACCAGCCAAGUAGCAUGAAGGAUGACUGCCCUACGGGUUGUAAACUUCUUUUAUAAAGGAAUAAAGUGAGGCACGUGUGCCUUUUUGUAUGUACUUUAUGAAUAAGGAUCGGCUAACUCCGUGCCAGCAGCCGCGGUAAUACGGAGGAUCCGAGCGUUAUCCGGAUUUAUUGGGUUGAAAGGGAGCGUAGAUGGGUUGUUAAGUCAGUUGUGAAAGUUUGAGGCUCAACCGUAAAAUUGCAAUUGAAAAUGGCAGCCUUGAGUACAGUGGAGGUAGGCGGAAUUCGUGGUGUAGCGGUGAAAUGCUUAGAUAUCACGAAGAACUCCGAUUGCGAAGGCAGCUUACUAAACUGCCACUGACAUUGAUGCUCGAAAGUGUGGGUAUCAAACAGGAUUAGAUACCCGAGUAGUC